This 115-nucleotide ribosomal RNA is filed under the name uncultured eukaryote. RNAcentral's name for it is "partial small subunit ribosomal RNA". It matches the Rfam family "Eukaryotic small subunit ribosomal RNA", at positions 1675 to 1785 of the family's 1831-position model. The record is from RNAcentral.
GUCGCUACUACCGAUUGAAUGAUUUAGUGAGGUCUUCAGACUGGCUAAUUCGACUACAUUUUGUGGUAGGAUUGUGCUGGAAAGAUGACCAAACUUGAUCAUUUAGAGGAAGUAA